Macaca mulatta (Rhesus monkey) is the source of this 1304-nucleotide non-coding RNA. NCBI's taxonomy places the organism in Eukaryota, Metazoa, Chordata, Mammalia, Primates, Cercopithecidae. The record is from RefSeq and is a predicted model, not a curated record.
UGAGACCCUGUCUUGAAAACAUAAAGAAGUAAAUAAACAGGUAGUGCUUGAGGUGCAGCUGAGGAUUCAUGGCCCAGAGUCCUCAACAGCGAACCUGAGUUCUCCAACAGCUUCCCCUUUUGCAGACUCAGAGACCCUGCUCAGCUGCUCCCCAGACAAGCAGCACAUGUGGGCAGCUGGGCAACCCCAGCAGAGAGGUUUCUGUUCCAGGAUGUAGCACUGUGGGGGGGUCAUUGUGUAGUCUGCAUGCAGUAAUAAACCCCAACAUCCUCAGCCUCCACCAGGUUGAUUUUCAGUGUGAAAUCAGUGUCUGACCCACUGCCACUGAACCUCUCUGGGACUCCAGAGGCCCGCUUGGAAACCUCAUAGAUCAAGAGCUGUGGAGACUGGCCUGGCUUCUGCAGGUACCAAUCCAAAUAGGUGUUUCUAUUACUAUGCAGGAGGCUCUGACUAGACCUGCAGGAGAUGGAGGCUGGCUCUCCAGGUGUGACGGGCAGGGACAGUGGAGUCUGGGUCAACAGAAUGUCCCCACUAGUUCCUGGAAUGGUGACUGAAGAGGGGACCCAGAGCAUCAGCAGUCCCAGGAGCUGAGCAGGGAGCCUCAUUGUGAGAAGGUGACCUGAGGAGUCCUGAUCAGUCAAGGCAAGGCAGGCAAAGGCUGGUGUCUCCUAGUCAGUCAUCUCGCUGAUAUCACUCCCCUAGGAUAUCGUUUUGAAGAUGCAGUAACACUAUCAUGGAAUAAUACUUGGACAUGCUGAGGCAUGCGACUGUGUAGAAGAAAUGCUGUUUGUCUUCUGAGUCUAUAAGAGGUCAUCAACGCUGCAUAACUUCUGCCUGCUCCUCCUCUGGAAGUUUCAAGUAAACCAAGCAUCCACAUGAAUUGGCAACCCCAGCUGAGAACCUUAUGUCUAAUGUCAUCCACCUUUGAGUUAUAAAGGCUGUGAAUUCCAAGGUCAAGACGCUGGCAAACUUGGUGUCUGGUGAGGACUGUUCCUGCUUCCAAGAUUGCACCUCGUGGCUGUGUCGUCACAUGUUGGAGGCGGAAAGGCAAAAGUGGCAAGUCUGUGUAAAGCCACCUUACUAGGCAUGAAUCUCAUUCAGGAGUGCUGAGCCCUCAUGACCUAAUCACCUCCCAAAGGGUCUACUUUCUAAUAUUGUUGCCUUGGGAUUCAGUUUUAACAGGAACUUUGGAGGUGACACAGACAUUCAGGCCAUAGCAGUGAUGUAGUAGAAAAAAAAAAUAAUAACUGAAUUAUAUUGGAUCAAUUGUAUAUCCAUAUUACAUUAAAAUGAAUCUUAACCUC